AUGAACUCCAUCUUUGUGCUCUACAGUCGUAAGUUUGUCAUUGUAUUUCUUGAUGAUAUCCUUGUCUUCAGAACUGACUUGCAGGACCUACGGCUGGUGCUCGACACGCUUCACCAACACGAGCUCUACACCAAGCCAUGCAAGUGCUUGUUCGCGCAACCCAUUAUCGAGCACCUUCGCCACAUCAUCUCCAAGGAGGGUGUCGCCACCGGCGCAAGCAAGAUCAGCGCCAUGCAAGCAUGGCCCGUGCCCAGCAACGCCACCAAGCUGCGCGGGUUCGUUGGACUCACGAGCUACUACCGGAAGUUCGUCGCCAACUAUGGAGUGCUCGCCAAGCUGCUCACCCAGCUCCUCACCAAGAAAGGGUUCUAG
This 372-nucleotide ribosomal RNA is filed under the name Triticum aestivum (bread wheat). RNAcentral's name for it is "partial small subunit ribosomal RNA". The record is from RNAcentral. Lineage: Eukaryota; Viridiplantae; Streptophyta; Magnoliopsida; Poales; Poaceae.